GGUUCGAUCCUGGCUCAGGAUGAACGCUGGCGGCGUGCUUAACACAUGCAAGUCGAACGGGAUCCAUCAGGCUUUGCUUGGUGGUGAGAGUGGCGAACGGGUGAGUAAUGCGUGACCGACCUGCCCCAUACACCGGAAUAGCUCCUGGAAACGGGUGGUAAUGCCGGAUGCUCCGACUCCUCGCAUGGGGUGUCGGGAAAGAUUAUAUCGGUAUGGGAUGGGGUCGCGUCCUAUCAGGUAGUCGGCGGGGUAACGGCCCACCGAGCCUACGACGGGUAGCCGGCCUGAGAGGGCGACCGGCCACAUUGGGACUGAGAUACGGCCCAGACUCCUACGGGAGGCAGCAGUGGGGAAUAUUGCACAAUGGGCGCAAGCCUGAUGCAGCGACGCCGCGUGCGGGAUGACGGCCUUCGGGUUGUAAACCGCUUUUGAUCGGGAGCAAGCCUUCGGGUGAGUGUACCUUUCGAAUAAGCACCGGCUAACUACGUGCCAGCAGCCGCGGUAAUACGUAGGGUGCAAGCGUUAUCCGGAAUUAUUGGGCGUAAAGGGCUCGUAGGCGGUUCGUCGCGUCCGGUGUGAAAGUCCAUCGCUUAACGGUGGAUCUGCGCCGGGUACGGGCGGGCUGGAGUGCGGUAGGGGAGACUGGAAUUCCCGGUGUAACGGUGGAAUGUGUAGAUAUCGGGAAGAACACCAAUGGCGAAGGCAGGUCUCUGGGCCGUUACUGACGCUGAGGAGCGAAAGCGUGGGGAGCGAACAGGAUUAGAUACCCUGGUAGUCCACGCCGUAAACGGUGGAUGCUGGAUGUGGGGCCCGUUCCACGGGUUCCGUGUCGGAGCUAACGCGUUAAGCAUCCCGCCUGGGGAGUACGGCCGCAAGGCUAAAACUCAAAGAAAUUGACGGGGGCCCGCACAAGCGGCGGAGCAUGCGGAUUAAUUCGAUGCAACGCGAAGAACCUUACCUGGGCUUGACAUGUUCCCGACAGCCGUAGAGAUAUGGCCUCCCUUCGGGGCGGGUUCACAGGUGGUGCAUGGUCGUCGUCAGCUCGUGUCGUGAGAUGUUGGGUUAAGUCCCGCAACGAGCGCAACCCUCGCCCUGUGUUGCCAGCACGUCAUGGUGGGAACUCACGGGGGACCGCCGGGGUCAACUCGGAGGAAGGUGGGGAUGACGUCAGAUCAUCAUGCCCCUUACGUCCAGGGCUUCACGCAUGCUACAAUGGCCGGUACAACGGGAUGCGACACGGCGACGUGGAGCGGAUCCCUGAAAACCGGUCUCAGUUCGGAUUGGAGUCUGCAACCCGACUCCAUGAAGGCGGAGUCGCUAGUAAUCGCGGAUCAGCAACGCCGCGGUGAAUGCGUUCCCGGGCCUUGUACACACCGCCCGUCAAGUCAUGAAAGUGGGUAGCACCCGAAGCCGGUGGCCUAACCCUUUGUGGAUGGAGCCGUCUAAGGUGAGACUCGUGAUUGGGACUAAGUCGUAACAAGGUAACC
RNAcentral lists this ribosomal RNA (1487 nucleotides) under uncultured bacterium. RNAcentral describes it as "bacterial SSU rRNA". It matches the Rfam family "Bacterial small subunit ribosomal RNA". The record is from RNAcentral.